UGGAGAGUUUGAUCCUGGCUCAGGACGAACGCUGGCGGCGUGCUUAACACAUGCAAGUCGAACGGAAAGGCCCUUCGGGGUACUCGAGUGGCGAACGGGUGAGUAACACGUGGGUGAUCUGCCCUGCACUUUGGGAUAAGCCUGGGAAACUGGGUCUAAUACCGAAUAUGACCGCGCACUUCCUGGUGUGUGGUGGAAAGCUUUUGCGGUGUGGGAUGGGCCCGCGGCCUAUCAGCUUGUUGGUGGGGUAAUGGCCUACCAAGGCGACGACGGGUAGCCGGCCUGAGAGGGUGACCGGCCACACUGGGACUGAGAUACGGCCCAGACUCCUACGGGAGGCAGCAGUGGGGAAUAUUGCACAAUGGGCGCAAGCCUGAUGCAGCGACGCCGCGUGAGGGAUGACGGCCUUCGGGUUGUAAACCUCUUUCAAUAGGGACGAAGCGCAAGUGACGGUACCUAUAGAAGAAGGACCGGCGAACUACGUGCCAGCAGCCGCGGUA
Molecule: ribosomal RNA, 500 nt
Filed under: Mycobacterium sp. N665
Lineage: Bacteria; Bacillati; Actinomycetota; Actinomycetes; Mycobacteriales; Mycobacteriaceae
Description: bacterial SSU rRNA
Rfam family: Bacterial small subunit ribosomal RNA
Source: RNAcentral